AAGUCGUAACAAGGUUUCCGUAGGUGAACCUGCGGAAGGAUCAUUAACACGUUUACCAAACUGUAUCAACCCCGUAUCAACCGUGCUCUGUUGUUUGUGUUUUUCCUUUUCGUUUCUUUGUUUUCGAACCCAGAAAGGAGAAGGAAAAAGGUAUGGUGUUCUCUUUGAGUGAUCGGAGAUCGAGCACUAUUCCUCAACCCCAUUUUUUAAACCUUUAUAAACCCCAUAACAACAUGCCCAUCGUGGUACUAAAUCUUGAGUCACCGAGGAAGCGGGAUUUGAAAUGACCUAAGAAAAGAAAACUUUUUUUUUCAAAAAAGUGUUGCCUUCUUUUCUUGAUUUUCUCCUGCAUCAUUUCCGAGGAUCAUGACUUACUUUUACGGCUUAAACGCCACUGUACAACUCUUAGCAACGGAUAUCUUGGUUCUC
Molecule: unclassified non-coding RNA, 429 nt
Filed under: fungal sp.
Lineage: Eukaryota; Fungi
Description: partial internal transcribed spacer region
Rfam family: Eukaryotic small subunit ribosomal RNA (bases 1-46)
Source: RNAcentral